Molecule: ribosomal RNA, 288 nt
Filed under: uncultured Eubacteriales bacterium
Lineage: Bacteria; Bacillati; Bacillota; Clostridia; Eubacteriales
Description: uncultured Clostridiales bacterium partial 16S ribosomal RNA
Rfam family: Bacterial small subunit ribosomal RNA
Source: RNAcentral
CAAGUCGAGCGGAGACAGUGAGUAGCUUGCUAUGAACUGUUUUAGCGGCGGACGGGUGAGUAACGCGUGAGCAACCUUUCCCAGACAGGGGAAUAACACACCGAAAGGUGUACUAAUACCGCAUAAGACCACGGUUUCACAUGGUUCUGAGGUAAAAGAUUUAUCGGUUUGGGGUGGGCUCGCGUCCGAUUAGGUAGUUGGUGAGGUAACGGCCCACCAAGCCGACGAUCGGUAGCCGACCUGAGAGGGUGAACGGCCACACUGGAACUGAGACACGGUCCAGACUCC